Bombyx mori (domestic silkworm) is the source of this 445-nucleotide long non-coding RNA. RefSeq lists it as uncharacterized. The transcript is spliced from 3 exons. The record is from RefSeq and is a predicted model, not a curated record. NCBI's taxonomy places the organism in Eukaryota, Metazoa, Arthropoda, Insecta, Lepidoptera, Bombycidae.
AAUAGCCUUAUGCUGCUUUGUUUAUUGCCUAUCGGCACAAGGCUCAUCGGUUUUGUCAUUUUCAAAAACCCUUGGAAGAACAAACUGAACGAGAUCCCUCACCUUCUCAGGAUGUAGAUCUAUAUAGAUGGGAAAGAAAUAGUCAGAUAAGCAGACGUGUCUAGGUGUUUUCGUGGUUAUAUAGAUAAUGAUUUGUGAUAUAUGUAAUAUAGAUAUGUGAUAGAUCACAAACACUAUUAUUUAAGUAUUCGGAAAAAGAUGUUGUCGCGGCGAAUUAUCAAGUUCCAGUGGUAACUCCAAAAAACAAAAAACUAGAAAAGGAGGUUGUCAGCGUCGAAUUUCAGUCAUCGAGCGAACAAUAUCAAUAUGAAAUGGCUGAGAGAGAUAACGCUUCAUUCUCACGUCUGGUAAAUAUACAUUAAAUUGAAUAUGACUGACUUGUUGC